RNAcentral lists this ribosomal RNA (116 nucleotides) under uncultured eukaryote. Its description in RNAcentral is "partial small subunit ribosomal RNA". The record is from RNAcentral.
GUUGGUUUUACYCGAAGACGGCGCGCYAACCGCAAGGGGGCAGCCGGCCACGGUARGGUCAGCGACUGRGGUGAAGUCGUAACAAGGUAGCCGUAGGUGAACCUGCAGAAGGAUCA